This is a small nucleolar RNA of Gossypium arboreum, 107 nucleotides long. It matches the Rfam family "Plant small nucleolar RNA R71". Rfam says of the family: R71 is a member of the C/D box family of snoRNAs containing the C (UGAUGA) and D (CUGA) box motifs. Multiple nearly identical copies of this snoRNA have been identified in Arabidopsis, and it is thought to function as a 2'-O-ribose methylation guide for 18S ribosomal RNA. The record is from Rfam. Lineage: Eukaryota; Viridiplantae; Streptophyta; Magnoliopsida; Malvales; Malvaceae.
AUACAAUGAUGAGGGAACUUUCGUAAUAACUUCUUAAAUUGUUCCCAUGCCUCAUACAAGGACUCAUCAUCGAAUUGCUGAAACAAAACAAUUUCAUUUUUGAGCUU